UGACAGAUAAAUACUAAGCUUUAACUGGGCAUGGAUGUGGAUGCAUGCUGCACAUUUUGUGAUGCACGUUGCCCAUAUUUGAUGCACAUGCAUCUUAAGACCAGUGGUGUCAAUCUCGAGGCAGGCUAAUCGAUAUAUCUGGCCCUAAGAACUGCAACACUCACUGGUCUGGCCAAUGGAGCCAAACCACUUCCAUAUAGUGAUGUAUAAUUGCGAUACCCAAGGAGGAGGGAAAAAAUGGAGUGAUGUGUUUGCUAUGAUAUGCUGAUGAAUUUUAGGGUUCACAAUUUAUAAUCCAUCAGGCAACCCGUUCUGCUCUGUGCAGGUUAUUUAUGGCAUAAUUGUGUUUGGGUUGUAAAUAUGUCAACCCUCCUAAAUUUGUUUAUUAAAAGGAUUGGGUUCACUUUUAGACUUUUGGACCAUUUAAUCCAUUGGGUGUGCUUGGUGGGAGGAA
This 454-nucleotide long non-coding RNA is filed under the name Elaeis guineensis (African oil palm). RNAcentral describes it as "long non-coding RNA (EGUI_LNC031263)". The record is from RNAcentral. Lineage: Eukaryota; Viridiplantae; Streptophyta; Magnoliopsida; Arecales; Arecaceae.